Molecule: long non-coding RNA, 1794 nt
Organism: Macaca mulatta (Rhesus monkey)
Lineage: Eukaryota; Metazoa; Chordata; Mammalia; Primates; Cercopithecidae
Source: Ensembl
AUGAUAUUCACUUUUUCUUUUCUUUUUCUACCUCCUCUGCACAAAAACAAAAAACCAGAAAAUAUUCUUCUACAAAAUAAGAUAUUUACUGUUCUGGUGACUGUAUUUUGGGGUUUUCUUCAGCUAAGUUGGAUAGGAGACAUAAUCAAAUUUCUCAUUGCUUUUGGGAGAGUUGCUACCUUCACCAGCUACUGCUCCUUCCAACCAUCCAUCUGGAAUUACAAACAGCUUAGGGUCAUGCUAUCUUUUCCUACGAGAUCCUUAAAUCUUACAGCUCUGUUAGAGAAGUCCUCAUCUGCACACAUAUGUCGUCUAAGCCAGUGUAAUGGAAGAUUGAUACGUUGCCUAUGUUUCCUUUCACUACUGGACUGUGUGCCCAGCAGAGAGUUACUUAACUUUGGGCUGAUUGCUUCACCUCACCUGGUAAAUGAGAACAAUGGACCCUUCAGAGGAAUGAAUUGAAAAUAAAACGUGAGAAAAUGCUAUGAAAUUUGCAGAGAGAUAUGUAGGUAAGUGAUAUUUUAAAAAAUAUUGGAUUAUCAGAUUGGUCAUGUUUAUAAGAAUAAAAGUAUUAACUAUAAGAUAUAAUUGAGUUACCUAAGACUUACAUUUUAGUGUAAAAAUGAAGUGAACACAAUUUUCUAUUCAAACCCUUCUCUUUUUAAAGGAAAUUUAGUUUCUAUUCUAUUAAUAAUAUUAAAUGUAGUAAUAAAUUUAGUAGCUAUAAUCAUAGGACAUCUUUUGACCACCUCUGAGAUUGCCAGGUGCUGUUGUGUUCAUCUCACCUAAUUUCUGCUUGGAAGAUCUCUGAUUGGAAGGCAGUCUGCUAGUUGUCUUUCAAUAUUUAGUCUCCCCUUCCUCUACAAUAAAAGCAUCUGUAACAGACACGUAACCAUGCAGAAAGAAUGACUACAUUUUCCAACAAGGUGUGGCUCAGCUCUAGCCAAUGGGUUAUAGAGGAAGUACUGUGCGAUUGUUUCUGUGAACUGUCUUGUGACAGACAGACACUGGAGAAGCCCGCAUGGUACCCACCCCUUGCUGUUCAGUCCUUGUAAAAUACCCUCCCCUGGAGUGUGGACAGGACCUGUGAGUUAUUUAUAACUAAUAGAAUAUGACAAAUAUGAUGGGAUUUCACUCGUUAUGUUAUGUUAUGUUAUGUUAUGUUAUGUUAUGUUAUGUUAUGUUAUGUCACAUAAGACUUCAUCUUGCUACCAGACUAACUCUAGUGGCUCUCCUUUCUGGCUUAAUGAAGCAAAUGGCCACACUGGGAAAGCUCAUGUGGCAAGAAACUGCAAGAAGCCUCAAUAAAUAAUGGAUUGCCUCUAGGAAUUGUGAGCUCUGGGAUAUCAGGGAAGCCUCCAGCCAACAGCCAGCAAGAACCUGAAGCUCCUAGUAUCACAGCCACAAAAAUAAAUUCUGAUAGCAAUUUGAGUCAGCUUGGAAAUGGAUUCUUCCUCAGUUGAAACCCCUGAUUGUAAUGCAGCCCAAUCAGCACCAUGAUAGCAACAUUGUGAAACCCUAAGCAUAGUAACUAGCUAAGCUGUUUUUGUACUCCUGACAUAGGGAAACUAUGAGAUAAUAAAUGUCUGUUGCCUAAGUUGCUAAGUUUGUGACAAUUUGUUAUGUGGCACUAAUACAGUCCUUCAGAGGCAGCUGGCACAUGCUAUUUGCCCUUUUUCUUUUUUCACGUCUUCUUUCAUCUUGUUGCUUAGACUUCUGCUACAACCUUACUGAACCACAAAGUUGGAGUGUCAUUUUCAAGAUGAUGAAUCCUUGAGCUGAAACAGAUCCAGG